RNAcentral lists this ribosomal RNA (429 nucleotides) under Chloroflexota bacterium. RNAcentral describes it as "Chloroflexi bacterium partial 16S ribosomal RNA". It matches the Rfam family "Bacterial small subunit ribosomal RNA", at positions 355 to 776 of the family's 1533-position model. The record is from RNAcentral. Lineage: Bacteria; Bacillati; Chloroflexota.
UGGGGAAUAUUGCACAAUGGGCGCAAGCCUGAUGCAGCCAUGCCGCGUGUGUGAAGAAGGCCUUCGGGUUGUAAAGCACUUUCAGCGGGGAGGAAGGCGUUAAGGUUAAUAACCUUGGCGAUUGACGUUACCCGCAGAAGAAGCACCGGCUAACUCCGUGCCAGCAGCCGCGGUAAUACGGAGGGUGCAAGCGUUAAUCGGAAUUACUGGGCGUAAAGCGCACGCAGGCGGUUUGUUAAGUCAGAUGUGAAAUCCCCGGGCUCAACCUGGGAACUGCAUCUGAUACUGGCAAGCUUGAGUCUCGUAGAGGGGGGUAGAAUUCCAGGUGUAGCGGUGAAAUGCGUAGAGAUCUGGAGGAAUACCGGUGGCGAAGGCGGCCCCCUGGACAAAGACUGACGCUCAGGUGCGAAAGCGUGGGGAGCAAACAGG